GUGCUCGCUUCUGCAGCACAUAUACUAAAAUUGGAGCAAUACAAAGAACAUUAGCAUGGCCCCUACGCAAGGAUGACAUGCAAAUUCAUAAAGGGUUCUGUAUUUUA
Non-coding RNA from Erinaceus europaeus (western European hedgehog), 107 nucleotides. The record is from Rfam. Lineage: Eukaryota; Metazoa; Chordata; Mammalia; Eulipotyphla; Erinaceidae.